This 217-nucleotide unclassified non-coding RNA is filed under the name uncultured Mycena. Its description in RNAcentral is "sequence contains ITS2". Lineage: Eukaryota; Fungi; Basidiomycota; Agaricomycetes; Agaricales; Tricholomataceae. The record is from RNAcentral.
AAUUAUCAACCUUGCUCGCUUUUACCGGCUUGAGUUAGGCUUGGAUGUGAGGGUCUUUGCUGGCUUCCUUCAGUGGAUGGUCUGCUCCCUUUAAAUGCAUUAGUGGGAUCUCUUGUGGACCGUCACUUGGUGUGAUAAUUAUCUAUGCCAUCUUGACUUUGAAGCAAACUAAUGGGAACCUGCUCAUAACCGUCCUUUUCAAGGACAACUCUUGACA